UUAGUACUCCCUCCGUCCGGAAAUACUCGUCAUCAAAAUGGAUAAAAGGGGAUGUAUCUAGAUGUAUUUUAAUUCUAGAUACAUCUCUUUUUAUCUAUUUUGAUGACAAGUAUUUUCGGACGGAGGGAGUAUUAG
This is a non-coding RNA of Triticum urartu, 135 nucleotides long. The record is from Rfam. NCBI's taxonomy places the organism in Eukaryota, Viridiplantae, Streptophyta, Magnoliopsida, Poales, Poaceae.